AUGUUAAUACAAAACAGUGGAGAUAGAAUAAGAAAAAAAAGAAAACAAAAGGAAAAGGUGCUAGCUAAUACUGUACUAGUGGGCUCUAUGUGCAACACUGCUAUGGCCCAGCCCAAUGGGGUUCAUCCCCUUCUUCUGUACAGGACAGAGGGCGUGGCGGCCAUCCACCGGCUCCAUAGCCAGCAGGGUGCACGCGCCGUCCAUCCACUACCUCCCCGCCGUCUACAAGACCAUCUCGACACCUAUACGAACCCUAGUCGUCCACUCCUUCCCCCUCGCGACGUUCUCUUCCUCCGCGCACACACCUGA
RNAcentral lists this ribosomal RNA (309 nucleotides) under Triticum aestivum (bread wheat). RNAcentral describes it as "partial small subunit ribosomal RNA". The record is from RNAcentral. Lineage: Eukaryota; Viridiplantae; Streptophyta; Magnoliopsida; Poales; Poaceae.